UCGCUCAGAGAAGAGUCCAUUUCAAACCAACUGGUUGGGGGCAGCCAUGGAAGAUAUGCAUUCACUGUUCUACGUGUGUGAAGGACCAUCGAUUUUCUUUUGGGGAGGCGCGUUGCCAAUCCAGCCGCCCUUUUGGUCUUCAUCUCAUCGGCUGGAUUCAAGUGUUGCCAUUCUAGCUAUGCUUCAUCCUUCUUCUCAUCACACGGGUUUAGCUGAAAGGGAUUUUUGGGUUUCGUAAAAAAGAGCACCAAUGAAGAAAGCAUUUAGAUUUGAUGGGUUUGAUGUCAAUGGUUCUUGGGUAAUCCCUAAUGCUAUAUAAGAGCUGAGGUAUUUAUAUAUUACAACAUAUUGGGUUAUGAGAUAGAAUUUUCAAAUAUUUGAUGACAACGACAAUACAGAGAUAGUUGUUUUGGGAUUUUGAUUGUUUAGGGUGACUUUUGCAUAGGUGGUCUUUUGUUGCUUUGGAUAUAACAGUUUGGUUGGUGUUUUCGGUUUUGUUAAGCAAGGGGGUUUGAGCAUGAGGACAAAGGUGAUUUUGCAACCUCACCGAAGCAUUUCAGAUGUUAAUAGCGUACAAGAGAGUCAAGAAGAGGUUGUGUGUAAAAGGAGGUUCUUUGCAGGCCAAAAAAGGUUGAUUUUUUUUUUCUUUUUCUUCUUUUCAUUCAAAACUUUUUGUUCACUUAUUGUCCUUGAAUAUUAUGCUCAAAGUAGUUAACUUUUCGGUCAAAAUGUUUUAUUUGUGUUUCUUGAUUUGAAUGAAAGCUUGGUAUUUCCUCCCUUUUUUUUUUUUUUUGGGUUUCUUUCAUUUCAUACUGUCUUCAUAUCUUUUGCUCCACUGGUGAUCAGAGACCCUAAACAAACUACCUUACAAAUUUGAUUAAACUUAGAAUUUUCUUUUAAAAUUUGUUCAUAGCCAAUUGCUAUUUUAUCAUUUUUUAAUAAUUUGUACCAAUAGAGUUAAAACCCUUGUAGAAGACAAGAAAGAACAGAACCACUUCUACAAUAGAGCCAGCAAGGGAUAGAUCCCCCGUCAACAGACAUCAAGGCAGAAAAAUCCCCUUCCCCCACCAGUAGCAUAUAUGUAAAGACAAAACUACUGAUAUUUUGUUGCUGCUUGGUUUAUUAAAAUAUUGAUCAUAUUUUAAUAAACAUGACAAGCAACAUAUAAAACAUGUUAUUAGUCAUUAUUUUGUAACUUGCUACAUAUUUUCACAACUUUAUACACAUUUCAGACGGUUUUAAAACCCGCAGCAUCGUGCAGGCACCUUUACUAGUGGUAUCUAUAAAGCAGGAUCCAUUUCCAGCUUUCUCAUAAAGAGUCAAACUUGUUUUAGAAACCUAGAACAGCAUAAAACUAGAUGAGAUAAAUCUGCCUUUAUCAUUAAUAAGAUGAAAAAAAAACGAAAAAAAAGGUUGGCUUUCUAUGAAAUCAAAUAAUUUUGAUUGUGAUCUACCCAAUGUCACGAAAAAUUGAUGGAAACCCUGAAAUGAUUACUAGUAUUAGAAAGAAGGGUUAUCCUCUGUUGGUAUAGAAUUGAUUGAAAUAAUUCAAGAACUGGGUUAUGGUUAUGGAUGGAACUCAAUGUGCAUCCAAUUGUAAUGAUAUGUGUCAGGUGUUUCUUGGGGUUGUGGUAUUAUAGUUCAGCGGCCCACUAUUAGAAAUAUUGAUAUUAUCUUCAACUUAAAUGCCUAUAAAGCUCAAUAGGUGUGAGUUUUAUCACAAAAAGCUUCAAUUCUAUUAAGAGUGGAACCACUUAUUAUAAAUUAUGAUUUAUUUAAUCAAGUUUUCAAUGUGGUAUUUAUAUUCUUCAACACAUAUGUUUCGGCAGUGACCAGAAAUUAUUUAUU
Prunus persica (peach) is the source of this 1848-nucleotide long non-coding RNA. RefSeq lists it as uncharacterized. NCBI's taxonomy places the organism in Eukaryota, Viridiplantae, Streptophyta, Magnoliopsida, Rosales, Rosaceae. The transcript has 7 exons. The record is from RefSeq and is a predicted model, not a curated record.